This is a long non-coding RNA of Branchiostoma floridae (Florida lancelet), 646 nucleotides long. RefSeq lists it as uncharacterized. Lineage: Eukaryota; Metazoa; Chordata; Leptocardii; Amphioxiformes; Branchiostomatidae. The transcript is spliced from 3 exons. The record is from RefSeq and is a predicted model, not a curated record.
GGUUUGUGUAUUUAGAGAGUCCUUUACAAAAGCGUAUUGUUCGUGUUCAAUUAAGUACGUACCAAGGCAGCUGUCAAGAUGUCUCCACGAGGAUAUGUUUAUACAUUAAUCACUCUGACAUAUCACCUUCAGCUGAUGCCUGUUCAUACCUGUGUCUUUGAUCGUGGAACGAAAUCAACUACCUGCUACUAGCAUUACGUGGCAGAUGUCGUCAACUUGGAUUUCUGUUGGCAAAUCUGAGAAGCCAAAAUAGCUAUGGAUCUGACGAACAGAAAUAGAAAACCACAACACUGCCAAGGACACCAAGGCCGACAGUUUGCAGACAAGUGAUAGUGAUGGUGCACUGUGUCGUUGUCCGAUGGUUAUGUUGACCGUGGUCUGGCUGUGCCUGUGAGACCGGGAUGAAUCGAGGACUGCCAGCUUCUGAUACUGCCGGCGCAGUUCUUGGAGUGAACUCAAGUUCUGUGUGUGGCGAUGGCAAACGGAACGGAUCUUGUGCAACUACCUCUCCACUGACGUCCAAUACGUCAAGUCCAGACUCCUCCGGUGCUGACAUAAGAGGAAUAUUUCUAACCGCCGUCGGUGUUGUGGUGCUACUCAUCCUACUUCUAGCGGCAAAACACUUCUGUGGGAAGCGGGCCUUGAU